UACGUAGGGUGCAAGCGUUAUCCGGAUUCACUGGGUUUAAAGGGUGCGUAGGUGGGCAAGUAAGUCAGUGGUGAAAUCUCCGGGCUUAACCCGGAAACUGCCAUUGAUACUAUUUGUCUUGAAUACUGUGGAGGUCAGCGGAAUAUGUCAUGUAGCGGUGAAAUGCUUAGAUAUGACAUAGAACACCAAUUGCGAAGGCAGCUGGCUGCACAAAUAUUGGCACUGAGGCACGAAAGCGUGGGGAGCAAACAGG
This 253-nucleotide ribosomal RNA is filed under the name uncultured bacterium. Its description in RNAcentral is "partial 16S ribosomal RNA". It matches the Rfam family "Bacterial small subunit ribosomal RNA", at positions 524 to 776 of the family's 1533-position model. The record is from RNAcentral.